RNAcentral lists this small RNA (208 nucleotides) under Rickettsia prowazekii. Its description in RNAcentral is "partial sR26 non-coding RNA". The record is from RNAcentral. Lineage: Bacteria; Pseudomonadati; Pseudomonadota; Alphaproteobacteria; Rickettsiales; Rickettsiaceae.
UGGCUAAGUCAUAUUACAAGUAUUACUGUAUUGAACGUUUCAGCCAUCAUCUGAUUAAUUUUUGUUCUUUUUGAAAUGGAUUUUUUAAUACAAAUUUUUUAUUUUCUUAGGACGAUUGCAUCUUUUCUACUAUAUGAUUAUAUAACUAAAAUAAAUAUUGAUCUGGCAAUGAGUAAUAUCUUAAUAAUCAAAGUGCAACUUAUUAGAU